GCUGCUGGUGGUGGUCAGAGGCUUCUGUCUGCUGCCUCCUCACCAGCAGUGUGUGAAUGAAGGAUUGUGUGGUAAAGCGCCCUGGGGGGUCAGUGAAACGGGGUUCUCCUACAUGGAAGAACAGCCUCCUGGUGAACCAGCAUCUACACACAUCCUAGUGGGAGUGUCCACCCUGAGACCGGGAGGUUGUGGGUUCAAGUCCACAUUCGGGUCAUCCCAGUGUGGACCCAAUGCCUUUGACCUUCACCAGGUGGAGUCACAUGAUCAGAUGUUUCACUGGUUAGGGAUGAUGUUAACCAGCUGUGGCGGCCAUCUUUAACUGGGUGGGCUCCAGCGCUGCUCUGAAGGAAAUGGCGUUGUUAUCUGAACCCAGCAGCAGCUCAACCCACCACGAGAUAAGAGCCCUGCUGGUUCUUCUGAGCAGGAAACAGGAAGUUGUGAUGGACAUGCACUUCCUGUUUGGAAACCAUAGACAUCGAGUUCUAUAAAUGUUCUUUCUACCUUUAGGUUCUGUUGUUUCCAAACAACCUGUUCUCCACCCUGUCCUGGACCUCCUUCCAGAUCUAUUCAGGGCUUUAUGAGAUCGACCUCUCAGCCAACAAGGUUCCUGAGGUGACCCAAAGUCCUGCUGUGGUCCUGCCGAACCUCAGCGUUCUCCGGUUGGGAUCAAACCUUCUGACGUUCCUCUCUGAUGGAUCCUUCACAGCAUGUCCUGCUCUGACUGAACUUUACCUAGAAAAUAACUCCAUCUCUUCCCUGAAGGACCACACCUUCUCUGGGCUCAGUAAGCUGGAGGUCAGAACAUGAGCAGAACAUCUACUCCUGAAGAGAAACUGUGUCUGUUCCCUACCUGAGAUGAUGAACCUGUCCCAGAUCUAAACAAACUGAUAACAGAUCACCUGUCCAUCCCUUAGAUCCUGGACCUAUCAGCCAAUCACAUCUCAGUCCUGCCUGACCUCAUGCUGCACCCUCUGACAGCCAUCGAAACGCUCUACCUGGAGAGCAACAAGAUCAAAGAGAUGCCUGAUGAUUGGUUCAGCCAGAAAGAGGAAGUGCCAUACCUGUACCUCUCAGCCAAUCCCUGGGCCUGCUCCUGUUCCCUUGACUACCUGCGCAGGUAUCUGGAUGAUCAUGAAUUAAACAUCUACGUCCGAGAUGGUCCGAUCAUCCAGAGUGAUGUAAACAGCGUGGCUUGUGCUGCUCCUCAGGAACACAAACACAAACCUGUCGUCAGUCUAGAAGACUCUGAUCUCUGUUCUUCUUCACAAGAGUCGUUCGACCCACAAACAGUCUCCCCUCCCCUCACCUUGGCUCCGCCCAUCCCAGAUCCGUCCCUGACCACGUCUCCUGCUGUGUCACUAGAACUUCACACAGAGGUCUACAGAGUGGUGACGAGGUCCUGGUACCAGAACUUCACCCACUGGGUUAAAUGGUCGCAUCUUUCUGGGUCAGAGUUCAUCACCAGAACACCUGCUCGGUCACAUGACUUGACCUUUCAGUCUGUGGGUCCAUCAGAAGUCAUCAGAGCCGGUCCUUCACCCACAGCAGCUCCGUCCGUCCAGCCUGGAACACCAGCUGCGUCGACUGAAGCAUCAACCAUGUUAAUCCAUUCUCUGGGGUCCAACACCUUCAUUGGUUCUACAGGUUCUGCAGGUUCUACAGGUUCUGCAGGUUCUGCAGGUUCUACAGGUUCUGCAGGUUCUGCAGGAGUGUUCUGUGUGUGGCUGUUAGCAGGAGGCCUUCUGCUGAGCUCAGCCUCUGCAGCGUGUGUUCUGGUGACUCUAGUGAAGCUGGUCUUCUGGUACAAGAGGGUUUACAAACCGCUGAGCAGGAGCUUAGCCAGGAGGGUCAAAGGUCAAGGAGGGGUCCCACUCAUAAUGCCAAGUAGGAAGGAGGAGAUCAGAGGAGAAGGAGGAGUGAUGGCUCUGUACCGCUCUGUUCUGUUUAUCAGUAGAGAAGAAGGAGAAGCUGUGGGGGGAGGAGACAGAAACCAGCAGGUCAUUACGCUGACGCUGGCUGGAGGAGAAGGAGGAGAUGAGGGAGGGAGGGAGGAGAGGGGGGUGUACAGGAAGACUCUGUACCGGCUGGUAAGCAAAGAGGAGGAGAUGGAAGGAUGGAGGGAUGUUCUGGAGGAGUGUCGGGUCUCUGCUGAGGAUGGAGGAAGGAGGCGCGUCAGGAGGGAUAGAGAGCCUACAGGAGGAGGAGGAGGAACCAAAAAGCGUUACAGUGUGAUUCUACGGGAAGAGAGGGAGGAGGCUGAGGGAGGGCGGGAGGAGCUGGACUGGGUGGUGGGAGGCUGGGAGGUGAAGAGAGGUCCUGGAGGAGGGGGGGAGGGCCUGAGGAGCAGCUGGGGGGAGUGGCUAGCACACUAUUUACCCAGCAUGCCUUGGGGAGUAACCACAACCCCAGAGGAGGAGGCAGCUCCAUGACGCCCUUUAGCUCCCCCCUGAGUGGGAGGAGCUAAAGAUGUGAUGUGUUCCUAUCUGUAGAGUUCGACUUUAUGCUGAUGACAGUGUAGCAUUUGUAAGUGGUUACUUUUAAUAAAUGCUCAGUAGAAUAAAGCUCUUGAUUGGUUCUUUAAUCCACUAGAAUGAUUCCACUGAAACAUCUGGUUGGUCACUCAGCAGGAGCUGAGCUUCGGGUGAACUCGGAGCUCCGUGAACUCACUUCCUGUUGUCCCGAGUUCUAGCCAAACUUUGAUGUGUCUAGGUGUUUACCGAGACCCUCAGACACUCCCCUUUCUGUGACGCUUAGAAAGCUCACAUCACUUAAUAUCUGGAUUUAUUGUAUAUUAAUAUGUGAAUGUAGCUGAUUAUUAAUCAUUAUUAAAUCAUCAAGUAGACUCAUUUAAUGUAUUUAAAAUCAGAAAUAAGUCAUGAAAUAAUUAUUAAUUCAUUAUUAAAUCACUUUAGAUGAACUUUCGCUGUAGAUAACACAGAAUAUGACUGUAAACUUGCAGGCUGAAAGAAAUCCUUUUAUUAGAUGUAUAUUUAUAUAGAGCAGGGGUAGGCAACCCUGGUCCUCGAGGGCUGCAGUCCUCCAUGUUGUCCAGCCAUGCAUGAACUUGCAGCUUCUAAUUGGCUGAACACACCUGAUCCAGGUAAUCAACAGCAGGAACAACAAAGGUGGUUGGAGAACAAGCAGGACUGCGGCUCUCUAGGACCAGGGCUGCCUACCCCCGAUACAGUUUAUAAGAGUCUCGUCUCCUGCAUGGACCUCGGAGGUAUAGCUCAGAUGAGGCCGGGGUUCAGGGGCCACGAAGAGGGGGCCCACGGGCGCCACAGAAAACACAUAAAAGUGUCUGCCAAAUAAAUAAACGUAAACAUAAGAGGCAAUACUCGAGCGGACCACAGGUCCUCUAUCUGCGGUCCGCUCGACUAUUGCCUCUGGUUUCAUUGCAGGUGACAGAAAUGCAGGUUUCAGGUGUUAUGACCUGGACUCCAGGUUCAUACGCCAUGCCUGAGGAGAGAGGCUUUAGACCUCUGAGAUACUCAAAGAUCCCAAACACAUGUUGGAGUUCCACCAACCAGAACUUCUACAUCCACUCAGGUCCAGGAAGGCCUGGUUCUGCGGAGUGUUGGGUGUGUUUGUGAUGGACAGAGAGUCGACUGCUUCACCGUCCACCUGAACGCCAACCACCUGCACCACAAACAAUAAACAACAACCACUCAUGAACUCAGCAAACAUCAGUUUUUGAUGUAAUCUGAUUACAUUUCUGAGAUAUUAUGUCUCUCUUUUUUAAUCAAUACAUUCGCAGUGGUCGAAUAAAUGCGUUGGUGGUCGUUUCUGGGGGAAACAAUAUAUUGGUGCACCUUUACCAGGAACCAAACAGUUACCCACAUCACAGCAGUAUGGAAGCAUACGUGUAACAGAAAUCAAAUUAUUAUGCAGUAGCAGAAAGUAUUUUUCAUUUUCACAUUAGAACUGCCAAAUUUGACUCAUAAAUAAAAUGAAUAAGCAAUCUUCCAAACUGCUGUUUCAUUGUCUUCUUCAUCAUUGCUUAUUCUGUGACUCAACAUAUCCUUCCGGAGUUUUCCCCUUUUAGAAAUGUAGAAUCUUUCAGAAAUCCAUAAAAGUGAUUAUCUUAUGUACAAUAUAUGACAUGUCAUUCAAAUCCCAGGUUUCACAAGUUUGUAGGAUUUCCUUUUUCCACCUUCGGAAUAUUGCUAAGAUUAGAAGCAUCCUUUCCAGGAGUGAUGCUGAAAAACUAGUUCAUGCAUUUAUUACAUCAAGACUGGAUUACUGUAAUCCAUUACUCUCAGGAAGUCCACAGAAUGUAGUUAAAAGUCUUCAGCUUGUCCAAAAUGCUGCAGCUAGAGUUCUGAUGAGAAUUAAAAAGAGAGAUCAUAUCUCUCCUGUCUUAGCUUCCCUACAUUGGCUACCUGUUAAAUUCAGAAUAGAUUUUAAGAUCCUUCUUCUCACAUAUAAAGCUCUUAAUAAUCAAGCUCCAUCAUACAUCAGUGAUCUGAUUGUUCCAUA
This 4479-nucleotide long non-coding RNA is filed under the name Nothobranchius furzeri (turquoise killifish). Its description in RNAcentral is "lncRNA (ENSNFUG00015014893.1)". Lineage: Eukaryota; Metazoa; Chordata; Actinopteri; Cyprinodontiformes; Nothobranchiidae. The record is from RNAcentral.